Molecule: ribosomal RNA, 1170 nt
Filed under: Salmonella enterica
Lineage: Bacteria; Pseudomonadati; Pseudomonadota; Gammaproteobacteria; Enterobacterales; Enterobacteriaceae
Description: partial 23S ribosomal RNA
Rfam family: Bacterial large subunit ribosomal RNA
Source: RNAcentral
UACACGGUGGAUGCCCUGGCAGUCAGAGGCGAUGAAGGGCGUGCUAAUCUGCGAUAAGCGCCGGUAAGGUGAUAUGAACCGUUAUAACCGGCGAUACCCGAAUGGGGAAACCCAGUGUGACUCGUCACACUAUCAUUAACUGAAUCCAUAGGUUAAUGAGGCGAACCGGGGGAACUGAAACAUCUAAGUACCCCGAGGAAAAGAAAUCAACCGAGAUUCCCCCAGUAGCGGCGAGCGAACGGGGAGGAGCCCAGAGCCUGAAUCAGCAUGUGUGUUAGUGGAAGCGUCUGGAAAGGCGCGCGAUACAGGGUGACAGCCCCGUACACAAAAGCGCAUGUGCUGUGAGCUCGAUGAGUAGGGCGGGACACGUGGUAUCCUGUCUGAAUAUGGGGGGACCAUCCUCCAAGGCUAAAUACUCCUGACUGACCGAUAGUGAACCAGUACCGUGAGGGAAAGGCGAAAAGAACCCCGGCGAGGGGAGUGAAAAAGAACCUGAAACCGUGUACGUACAAGCAGUGGGAGCACCCUUUGGGUGUGACUGCGUACCUUUUGUAUAAUGGGUCAGCGACUUAUAUUCUGUAGCAAGGUUAACCGAAUAGGGGAGCCGGAGGGAAACCGAGUCUUAACCGGGCGUUAAGUUGCAGGGUAUAGACCCGAAACCCGGUGAUCUAGCCAUGGGCAGGUUGAAGGUUGGGUAACACUAACUGGAGGACCGAACCGACUAAUGUUGAAAAAUUAGCGGAUGACCUGUGGCUGGGGGUGAAAGGCCAAUCAAACCGGGAGAUAGCUGGUUCUCCCCGAAAGCUAUUUAGGUAGCGCCUCGUGAAUUCAUCUCCGGGGGUAGAGCACUGUUUCGGCUAGGGGGCCAUCCCGGCUUACCAACCCGAUGCAAACUGCGAAUACCGGAGAAUGUUAUCACGGGAGACACACGGCGGGUGCUAACGUCCGUCGUGAAGAGGGAAACAACCCAGACCGCCAGCUAAGGUCCCAAAGUCAUGGUUAAGUGGGAAACGAUGUGGGAAGGCCCAGACAGCCAGGAUGUUGGCUUAGAAGCAGCCAUCAUUUAAAGAAAGCGUAAUAGCUCACUGGUCGAGUCGGCCUGCGCGGAAGAUGUAACGGGGCUAAACCAUGCACCGAAGCUGCGGCAGCGACACUGUGUGUUGUUGGGUA